GGGCCAGUGGCGCAAUGGAUAACGUGUCUGACUACGGAUCAGAAGAUUCUAGGUUGGCUCCUGGCUGCCUCG
RNAcentral lists this transfer RNA (72 nucleotides) under Salmo salar (Atlantic salmon). It matches the Rfam family "tRNA". From Rfam's summary of the family: Transfer RNA (tRNA) molecules are approximately 80 nucleotides in length. Their secondary structure includes four short double-helical elements and three loops (D, anti-codon, and T loops). Lineage: Eukaryota; Metazoa; Chordata; Actinopteri; Salmoniformes; Salmonidae. The record is from Rfam by way of RNAcentral.